AGCGGCGAGUGAAGCGGCAAAAGCUCAAAUUUGAAAUCUGGCACUUUCAGUGUCCGAGUUGUAAUUUGAAGAAGGUAUCUUUGGGUCUGGCUCUUGUCUAUGUUUCUUGGAACAGAACGUCACAGAGGGUGAGAAUCCCGUGCGAUGAGAUGUCCCAGACCUAUGUAAAGUUCCUUCGAAGAGUCGAGUUGUUUGGGAAUGCAGCUCUAAGUGGGUGGUAAAUUCCAUCUAAAGCUAAAUAUUGGCGAGAGACCGAUAGCGAACAAGUACAGUGAUGGAAAGAUGAAAAGAACUUUGAAAAGAGAGUGAAAAAGUACGUGAAAUUGUUGAAAGGGAAGGGCUUGAGAUCAGACUUGGUAUUUUGUAUGUUACUCUCUCGGGGGUGGCCUCUACAGUUUACCGGGCCAGCAUCAGUUUGAGCGGUAGGAUAAGUGCAAAGAAAUGUGGCACUGCUUCGGUAGUGUGUUAUAGUCUUUGUCGAUACUGCCAGCUUAGACUGAGGACUGCGGCUUCGGCCUAGGAUGUUGGCAUAAUGAUCUUAAGUCGCCCGUCUU
Molecule: ribosomal RNA, 554 nt
Filed under: Lodderomyces parapsilosis
Lineage: Eukaryota; Fungi; Ascomycota; Pichiomycetes; Serinales; Debaryomycetaceae
Description: Candida parapsilosis partial large subunit ribosomal RNA
Rfam family: Eukaryotic large subunit ribosomal RNA
Source: RNAcentral